CGCCCCCGGACACGCCCCGGACACGCCCCCUGCCCGCUGCUAAGCGCACCUGAGAGGGGGUUUCGGAGACUGGUGGCGGCGGGGCUACGAGGGCAGAAGGGGGCUUCCUGGGAGGCCCACCUGGAGGCGGUUCCGCGGCGGGGACUCGGUCAAUCCGCUAACCAAUCGAUUAAUCAAUUGGUGGAGCAGUCAGAUGGAAAAUGGAGGCCCUGAGACUGGAAGCCCCUGGAGGUCACCGACGGACCUGGGAGGGUCACUGGCCAUUUAACAAGCUCAACAGAAUUUCCUUGCUCGGGCAUGCUUUCUGUGAGCCGGAACCUGGACUAGAGAUGACCCCGCCCUUGACAGCACCUGACCCCCAGAAACAGUCCUGGGCAUCAGCUCCUCCUUGCCCAGUGCCUCCCUCCUGAAGCUGGCUGGUGGUUGUACUGGAAGAUGGUGAAAGGGCUGGUGGAACAUUCCCCCAGGAAGGUCAGAUGAAGACAGUGGGGCUGGGAGACGUAAACCACCCAAGAUUCUCUAGCUACCAGGAGGAACGGCUGGGCUUUGAGCAGUCUCUGGGGCCCAGGCCCCAUGCACCUCACCAACCUCAGGUCUCCCAUCUGUACAAUGGAUCUGGCCUCCAGAGUACCAGGCACAGAUAUGAUGAGAUGAAGCUGGGUCUGUCUGUGGCUGCUGCCACCCUCCAGGGACACCUGCCAGCCAGGGUUAUCUUCCUUAGCAGGCUGGGCCUGGUCGCACCAGCUCAGCUGCUGUGUGUCACCCAGCCUGGCCUGUUGUGAUCACCUCGAACCUGCAGCUGGGUGUCCUCACUGCAACCAGCUGCUCACAGCCUGAAUCACUUCGUCUUCGCGCAGAACAUUCACUGGCUCCCCAUCGCCACUCCCGGGACAUAAAAACUCCAGCUAAUUUUCAAAGCUCUUCACCUGUCUGUCUGGAUUUUCUGGAGAGGCUGCCUUGACUAGUGGCCCAAAAAGGCCUUCAAGGAGGACUAGGUUUCCUUCCAGCUGGCCCCUCACUCACUGCUCCCCAUAUGUCUCCCCACAGGGAGCUGGGUGACAAGGUGGGUCACUCACCUCCAAGAGCCACUAGUUCCCUUGGCUGCAAAGUGGCACUCAUUAUACCAGCCCCCAUGGUGGUGGUCCUGUUCCCGGGAGCUGUGGGGGGCAGGGGGACACUGGGUGUGUCAGGCAUGUGCUAGGCACUUGAGGAGGGGCCACCCGAGCCCCGUGGCCCACUCGGUCUAGCCCACAGCCCUGCACGACGACUCUGGAGUGAGGCCAGAAUCCUUGUCUUCUCAGGAUUCCCGUCGUUCCAGGCUGAAUAUUACCCUGAUUGUGUUGUAGGGAAGGGAAGAGAACAUUUGUUCUUUUUUAAAAAAAUAACAUUUUUCUCCAUUUACAAAAGUAAUACAUGUUAAUUGUGGAUAAUUUUGAAAUUAAGAUAAACCAAAGAGAAAAUUUUAAAUUAUCUAUAAUUCAUCACCCAUCUAGAAGCACUUUGAGCACUUGAGCUCCUAGCCUCCAGACUCGGUAAUGAAUGUGGAGCGUGGGCUCUGCUUUGAGCCCAGCAUGGGGAUCACAGAACACACUCUGUUUUGCAACCCAGUUUUUCCAUCCACCAGCAGGACCCAGACAUCUACACCACCCAGAGCCUCUGCCCCACCAGUACUGAGGGUCCUCAGAGACCAGCAGCUGUCAGCAGUGCAGAAUCUCAGCCCCAAUCCCUAGAACAUGCAUUUCCCCAGCAUUCCCAGGGGGCUUCUCAGCACAGUACCAUUUGGGGGAGCAGUCCCAAAGCCCCCCUUUCCACGAGCAGCCCCAUGCCCCAUUGUGGAGCUACACUCACCCUCACUAAGCCAGUCCUCUAUUACUGAACAAGGAGGUGGUUUCCAACUUAUGAUGUCGUAAAUAACACCACAAUGAAUAGCAUCGUGAAUAGCUAAAACCCUGAGCACAUCACAGAUAUUUUCCUGGAGUGAAUAUUAAGGAGCUUCUCUGAACUUAGCUUCCCCCACAUUCACUCCCUUUCUCACCCAGAACAUUCUAGGGGAGGGGGGUGUAAGGACCAUCAACAUCCUUGUUCUGCAGAUGAGAUCAGGCAAAUAAAGGAUGGGAAAACCCAGCUGGGCCUGACUCAAAUCUUCCCUCUGAACCAAAUGGCUUUUGGUUCACGUCCAGGAGACCCAGCCAUGAACGUGCCUGUUGGAAACGUAAUGACAACCCUGAGGCUUCCAUGGUGGGAUGGGCAGCACUUAUAUCUGCUUUAAAAAGAUAAAGAGGAAGCAAGCCAAAGAAAGGGAACCCAGAGGAGGCAAAUACCGACCUCAACCUCAGUCCCACCCCCCCCCCCCAGCUCCCCCAGUACCACCGAGACCCCAGGGCUCUUCAGCCUCUCAGAAGAUCCAGAGAGGCAUCUUCUCCAUGUAGCAGCAGAAACCACAGCAAGAACAAGGUCAAGAGGAAGUGCCAGCUUUGGACCAAGAGAUUUCAUCCCUCCUUCCUGCCCCCACCCCACUUUAUCUUCACCGAAUUCCUGUCUACCCUUCAAAGCCUAGCUCCAAUGGCCACUCCUCCAGGCAGCCCUGGCCCUGUCCUAGCUGUGCUAACCACCCAAGGAUACAGAUGCUGUCCCAGCCCUCGUAGGGUGCCGGUCUGGCAGGAGUCUCGUGAGGCCAUCAAUCAAAUAACCAUCACAAACCAUCAGAAGAGGUGGACACCAUGCUCUAAAGCAAGAAGUGCCUGAGAGAGCCUCAGGAUACAGAAAAACCAGGGACAAAUGUAAGCAGGUGCUCAGAGGGCAGGGACCCGAUGAUUCUCUCUCGAUGAUUCUCUCCCUUAGAGCCACUUGGUGCCUAGAGCAAAUUAGGUGCUCCAGAAGUGUGUUUGAUUUCACAGCCUGCUGAUUUGAGGGCAUAGGAAUGAGGUCUCCGAGUUGGAAGGGCUGCUGGGGAGGUCAGCUUUGCCAAGCAGAGGGAGGAAGGGAUAGGGGCCUGGGGCCUUUCCCCCACUCCUGCAUCUUUGCAAAACUCUCUUCUGGGUUAUUGGUUGAUUUAUCCUGACAUCCACUAUGAAGCCAAGCAGGGAAGGCACUUUUUUUGGAAUA
Canis lupus familiaris (dog) is the source of this 3105-nucleotide long non-coding RNA. RefSeq lists it as uncharacterized. NCBI's taxonomy places the organism in Eukaryota, Metazoa, Chordata, Mammalia, Carnivora, Canidae. The transcript has 7 exons. The record is from RefSeq and is a predicted model, not a curated record.